Molecule: unclassified non-coding RNA, 226 nt
Filed under: uncultured fungus
Lineage: Eukaryota; Fungi
Description: sequence contains ITS1, 5.8S rRNA gene
Rfam family: 5.8S ribosomal RNA (bases 178-226)
Source: RNAcentral
UCUCCGUAGGUGAACCUGCGGAGGGCUCAUUACUGAGUGAGGGCGUCGGUCAGACCUCCAACACUUUGUGAACCAAGCUUGUUGCUUCGGGGGCGACCCUGCCGCUUCGGCGGUGCGGCGCCCCCGGAGGCCAUUAAUCACUGCAUCAUUGCGUCGGAGUUAAAGUAAAUUAAACAAAACUUUCAACAACGGAUCUCUUGGUUCCAGCAUCGAUGAAGAACGCAGC